AAACACUUAUUUUUAGCAUGACAAACAUUAUUAAGAUGAUGAGACUAUCAAAGGUGAAAUAUUUUAUAUAUAUAGAAACAGAGCUAUUUAUUCACUUAUUAAACACACAUGCCGGCUAUAAUUUCUUGUUGCCAUCUUUAGGAGGACAGUCCGUUUAUUCAUGGGACACAUACCUAGCUAGCAUUCCAAACAUGGCCCAAGCCUACGAUCUACUACAUCUUGUUCACACAUUGCCAAGAUAAAAAUAAGCUGACCCUUGUUGGCCAUCAGGCACAUAGUUUCCUACCCCGCCCAUUACAGCUGCAGUAGAACCCAUCAUCUGCUGCUCACGCCACAUUGGCUGCUGGCCCACUUGUUGAUUAUAUAUGGAAGGCGAGCACUGAGCUAGGUUGUUCAUGACUGCGAACGAGCUCGUCGGAGCCUGCAACCUAUAGCUUGGGUCAUUGUUGAGGCUGGUGAAAGAAAGGGUUUGCCGAGGGGCAGAACUAUUAUUUGCUGCCAAUAGCUCAUUGUCAUGGAGCCUGACAUCAUUGAUGCUGUAACGCUUUGUCCCUGACGAUGCCUUUUUCUCUAUUCUCUUGAAAAACUUUUGUGCAUGGCUUGAAAUUUGGACAGGGGUCUUAGUGGUGACGAAGUGCUUGGAUAUGUUUUUCCAGUCGCCACGGCCAUAGACUUCCAGCCCAUAAAGAAAUGACCUGUGGACAUAAUGUUCAAAAGAAUUGUUAGGUUAAAUUGUUUACUCAAAGAUGAAUUGUGCGACCGUUUUACUGAAGCAACUAAUAUAGAUUGAAGCAAACUACCAAUUUGACAGGUUCGAACCACUACAACAACACGUGCUUACUUUUGUUUAUUUACAGGUAUUGGAUAGAAUAUAUGUAUAUCAGAAAUCCAUAAGUGAACGAACAUUUUGUAGACAACCAAAACAUAUUGCAAAUUCAAAAUUAUCAUACCUCUACUUUUCUAUAGUGAAACGACAAUCAUUACAGGUUAUUGAUCUGUUUGAUUGCGACAAGACGUACCAUAUUGGAAUUUAAUGGCCUAUUUAACUGCCUUUCUAUUUUUUAAUCCAGGUCCAAUCACAUAAAAAAUUUAAGCCAAAAAGAAAAGUAAGAAAGAAAGUUCAUCAAUAUCUAAUUUGCAGGGAUUAGUAUUUAUCAAAAAUGUAAACUGUAAACGUCCAGAUAUACAUUUGUUAAAGUGCAAUAUCAAUUUAACAUACCUGCCUCAUAGAAUUAAUUCGCAGAGCUUAAUUAUCAUAUGUUGAUUUUAAAUAAAGAACAACUAAAACUACAUGACAAGGAAGAAUAUAGGUAUCGACUAACUUGUGUUCCUCUUUGGUCCAAAACUUUCGUUGAUGUGCGGCAACAGCUGGUCGAUCAACAGAAGUAUUGUUCUCCAAGACCACCAUCUUGUUCUUGUCUACCAUCAUCGGAGCCUCCUCCGUCUUCCUGAUUCUUGUAUCCUCCAAUGCGCAAUGAAAUGAAAAUCUAUUAUCAUCCAUGGCUGUACCCUCAUCAUCUUGUACCUCAAAGUUUUCAUUAACAAGGCCGCCCAUGCUGUAAAUGGAAAUUGACAGUGUCCAGUGUACAUUUAGUAAAGUAAAAUAUCAUCACAAACAUAAGCUACUGAUCUCACAUAAUAAAUAUGCACAACAUUCUUAAUUGGUAUAUGUUCACUGAAAACAAACAACAAUUAAAACUACAUGACAAAGGAGAGUAUACAACCAUGGACGAACCUGUGUUCCUCGUCGGUCCAAAAACCCCAUUGAUGUGGGGCAACAACUGGUUGGUCUAUGGAAAUAUUGUUCUCCAACACCUUCAUCUUGUUAUUGUCUGCCAUCAGCGGUGCCUCACCCGUCACCGUGAUCCCCGUAUUCUCCAUUGCACAACCAAAGGACAAUCCAUUAUUGUCCACGAUUGUUGCCUCCUCUCGUACACCGAAGUUUUCAUUCGCAUGGUCGCCCAUGGUGUAGAUACCGUGUGUGCUGCUAGCACCAUUCUCCUCCAUCGGUAGGAGCUCAUAGUUACCGUUGACAGGGUAACAAAAGGUGAAAAUGUUUUGCGGGCUACCACUAGUAACAUGGGUCCCCUCCCUCCGUUGGCUCAUAUGCAUUUCCACGGCGAGAUGAAUAUAAAGAUGUGUUACCUGUUUCAUGGUCUUUGAAGGGAACAAUGCAUGGAGAGAAUUCAUGAUGUAGUUGUGCUUCUUGUUCUUGUCAUCGUUAUCGUCGUACAUGAUUUUGUUGGUGUUGAGCCUAGCAAUGAGUGAUCAUGCCUCCUCUACCUCGGAUGAGGUCCACCCCUAGUUGACUAUUGGAUCCAUGAGAAAGUGGGUAGUUGAACGCUAUAGAAUUAUGAGGAGUAUGAACUAUGAAGAUGGGUUAUAGCUUGGGGAUGGAGACUGGGGAGUAAGAUAGUGUAUUUAUAGCCUCUUGUGUGCAGUCCUACUUUCGCUAAUUAAUUUGGCUCAUUUAUAGUUUUUCAGUCCAUACUAAAGUAGAUUGAACAAUAGUUAAGAUAAUUAAUUCUUAUGAUCCUCUGAGGAACAUGCCAAACUAUUUUAAGUUGACCUCGACAUUGUGUCUUUCUUUGAAAAAAUAUUUUCUUAUUUUGCCAAUGCAAAUAAUUGCCACGGGCCUCCAAAUAUACGCAAGAAGAUUGCUAGAAACAACACAAGCAGGCCUAUAGAGUAUUGAUCAAUUUCGGUGUAGAUAGAUAGGACACACAUCGUGUGCACAUGCGUGACAUGUGUUCUCAUCUUAGAGUGCAAGACCCAAACCAUGGUCUGCCGCACUCAAAUAUGCAAUGCACACAUGAUCUAAUUCGGUUUUGGCUACUAGUGACACAUACAUCAAUGGUGUUUUGCGUACACAUUGCAAAUAAUUGAGAUGACAAACACUUAUUUUUAGCAUGACAAACACUAUUAAGAUGAUGAGACUAUCACAGGUGAAAUAUUAUAUAUAUAUAUAUAGAAACAGAGCUAUUUAUUCACUUAUUAAACACACAUCCCGGCUAUAAUGUCUUGUUGCCAUCUUUAGGAGGACAGUCCGUUUAUUCAUGGGACACAUGCCUAGCUAGCAUUCCAAACAUGGCCCAAGCCUACGAUCUACUACAUCUUGUUCAUACAUUGCCAAGAUAAAAAUAAGCUGACCCUUGUUGGCCAUCAGGCACAUAGUUUCCUACCCCG
Molecule: long non-coding RNA, 3186 nt
Filed under: Triticum aestivum (bread wheat)
Lineage: Eukaryota; Viridiplantae; Streptophyta; Magnoliopsida; Poales; Poaceae
Description: long non-coding RNA (TAES_LNC017571)
Source: RNAcentral